UCAAAUGGUGUCAUGAGUUCUCUCUCUCUGU
RNAcentral lists this non-coding RNA (31 nucleotides) under Homo sapiens (human). Lineage: Eukaryota; Metazoa; Chordata; Mammalia; Primates; Hominidae. The record is from RNAcentral.